Long non-coding RNA from Homo sapiens (human), 11282 nucleotides. RefSeq annotates it as synapse stability regulating cerebellar lncRNA. The record is from RefSeq and is a predicted model, not a curated record. NCBI's taxonomy places the organism in Eukaryota, Metazoa, Chordata, Mammalia, Primates, Hominidae. The transcript has 3 exons.
GGGGACUCGGUGCGGAGCCGGGGCGCCGAGUGUCUCCGUGUCCCUCUGCCCCAGCCGGCGGCCGCGAUGGUGGAGCUUGGCCUCUCGCUCUCUCCCGCCUCUCCAGCGACUGCUCUGCCGGCCGCGGAGGUCGGAUCGAGCGGUCAUUCAUUCAUUUGUUAAUUCGUUCACUUAUUCAGGGGAGAUCAUUGAACCCCUACGGAGUACCGGGUACUGGGCCGGGCGCUGAGGACGCGGGGCUGAGCAAAAGCAGCCGAGGCCCACCUUCGUGCCCCUUAAAACCCAGCGUGCGGGGCGGCAACGAGUACUGCUUUUCUGUUUUGCACUUAAAAUUUACAUUUUGCAUCCGUACUUUUUAUUUACUGUGCACCCUUACGGCAUGCUUUACGCACCCGUACCUGCACCUCCUAGCCUUGAGUGUAGACACCAGAUCCUGAGAUGGGCGAUUUUUCGAGAAUAAUUUUUACCCUAAGUGGAUUUUCGUGCCACGCAUGGACUUGGAACUACACACACGUAGUCCAAAACGUGAAAGUCAAAAUGCAGCUUUGCCAAGUGGCAGGGAGAAAGGAGAGCUGAGAAGAUGAGGAGAGGAAGGGCGCGCUCCAGGCUUUCCAGCCCGGGUGCGGUAGACGUAGCCCUGAAGGAUGAACCCAGGCUGGUAGUAGGGCGGCGGGAGGGCGGGGGGACCUGUCAGUCAAGUCCAAAGCAGAAACGCGGCGCCGGAUCCCAGUCAGAGGCCGGCUGGAACGCUUCCCACAGGCUCCUGGCGCUCCGGUCCCCACCAGGCGACCUUGAUCCUGGCGUGCUCAGCGGAGCCAGCGCAGCGUCGGGAGCUGGAGAGACGCGGGGCGCCGGCUGAGCGCUCCUGCCCUCUGCCUCUGGGCUAGCCUCUGGCCCGGCCUCCCGGCCUCCCCCAGGGUACGCUCUCCCCCAAGAGCGAACACCAGCUUUGGGAUCGCCAGCAGCCACGUCUCUGCUUCUAGAUCUCUUUUUUUUUUCUUUGAGACUUAGUUGAUAGCUGUUUAAGGAAUUAUGUGGAGGAAAUCUCACCUCCGACCCCCGCCCCCGUUGAGCACGGCCGGCCAGGGUCGCUGGGUGGGCCAGGAGGAAAGAAAGGGGCGGGGAAGAAGCAGCAAUUUUACUUUAAAUUAAAAUGACACAAAAAUAUUUUUUCAACUCAGAUCUUUCUGAGACAUCCCCAGAAAGCGUUGCAAGCUGUGAUUACACCUAAUGUGAGAGCAUGAACUAAUUUAAGAGGUGAGAGCUGCAUAAUGAGGCUGCCUCCCGUGUAGCAGCCAAGACUGGCAGCUCUGGCGGCGCGCUGGAGGGGACCGGGAGGGGCACCCUUGUAGAACCAGUCCCUGGCGCCCUGGGAUCUUCUCAGUGCCCUGGCGCUGUGUUGUCGGUCACUCCACAGAUAUUACAGGGUGCCUCCUGAAUGCCGGGUUGCAAUCAAGAGCAAGAGAUGGGGCGAGUGAAAGAGCCUGUUUUCAGGAGCUCAGCAUCAGGAUGACGAUUACCUAGAGGGAGGUGGUGGCCAGCCUCCCCCUCUUCUCUUCAUGCUGAGGCUCUGGUGGGCAGUGCCCAAGCCUGAACUGCCAUCUGUAUGCCAGUGGUUACCCAACUUGUAUUUUCAGUCUUAGCCUCUCUCUGGUCCAGACUUGUCAUUCUAAGGGCCCUUUUUCACUGACUCACAUUGUCUCCUCCCUCCCUGCCUUCCAAACUCAGCCUUUUCCUUUUUCCCUUUCCCACUGACAACAGCUGCACGACCCCCCCGCCCCCCCACGAGGUGAAAAUUCCCAAGAACCCCAUGUCUAACCUAACUCCCUCUCUAUGUCCUGUUGCUUGAGCCAUUCUCAUUAGGCUGCCUGUUCGGAGUUCAUUAUCUCCUAAUUUUUCAUCCAGGAAUUGAUGAAGAAUCACCUACUGCCUCUCCCACACACUGUUUAUUCUUUCAUUUGAUGAUAUCUGUUAAGUGCCCUGAGAUAUGUAACCUCCACUUCCCUCCCAUAUAAGUGAGAUUUCACGUUGAUUACUUCCUUGGCUUUCCUCAUCCCUUAUCCACAUAGCAUGUGUUCAAAAUAAUGAAUAUUAAUUUAAUGUUAAUAGAUAUGUGCUUUCCUGAAUUGUGAGGAUUAAAUGAAAUCAUGUAUAUAGGGAGGAAAAUCCAUUAGAAACCUCAAAAGCAGUUAUGUUUAUUUUUGCUAUUGUCACAUUGUUAGAGUCAGAAUUCUUUUAGCUGCAAGUGACAAAACCAACUCAAACUGGCUUAAGGACUUUAUUGGUUGAUGCAAAAAGCCUCGGGUUAGGUCUUGCCAUUUAAGGUAGGGCUGGAUCCAUCAAUCCGGGUUACCAGGAUCUGUUUUCUAGUUGUGGCUUCAUUUUCAGACAAGUUGUUUCCAUAUGAUAGCCUCAUAGAAGGUACUACCAGCUUAGUCCUAGCAAGAAAAAAGAGUACUUACUCUUCAAUAUUUGCAGCAGAAGUCCCAGGUCUGUUCUUAUGAGGGCAGUUUGAGUCACUUGCUCUUCUCUGAACGUGGAGAAGGCACUGUUUAGAUGAUGGAGGUUGGAUUCAGGUGCAUCCCCUGGAAUGGGGUUUGGCAUUAGCUUCACGUGGUCUAGAAUAAAGGGGUUCUCCAAAGGAAAAUUAGGGUAGGAAUGCUGAGUAAGCAGAACAAACAGAUGUCUACUUUAGUCCUUCCCAAAGGGUGAGCUGCAAUACAUUGCAGACUAUCAGAAUGGUGAUGAACACGGAUGCAGUAGCCAAGAAAAUAGAUGUGUGUUUGUCGUGGUCUUUUUCAGUCUUCAAGAUCUCAGUUAAACAUGAAGUCAACCACUCACUAUGAUGUUAUUUGAGGUUUAGCUUUGAAGUGGAAAUGUACCACAAAUAGUAGAGCCAGAUAAAUACAAAUAAAUAAUUUUAACAGUCCAUUCUAAAAGAUUUCUUUGGUAAUAUUCUGUUGGAAUUGAUUUCUAUCUUUUCAUUUGUUAGGUUCCUGGAAAGUGAAAAUUUCAUUUCUUUGUGGACAGGUACCUAAAAUGUCUCAUUAUUCAUCAAUUAAUGAAAAACAAAUGAAAAUUUGAGAGAGAUAUUCUGAAGAAUAAAAGGAUCAAGUUGGGUCAUUUCUAAAAUGUAAGAUUAUAAGGUUUAACUUGCUAAGACUUUUGAGGGGUUGAAUUAUUGGUAAAUUAUUAUAGAACCACUUAUCUGAGGCUUUUAAAAGUGAUGUGUUACAGAGAUUUAGGGAACUGCAAGAUUGCAGAUAAAGAAUUUAUACUGUCAACUGUUCUAUACUUUACCUUCUGCUUUAAAUGCGGCCUUAUAUUUUGAAGUCAAACAUUUAUUUUCUCUCACUGCGUUCUGAAUUUCCUACCACAGUGCAUUUUGAGAAAUGAAUAUAACAGCAGUCUUCAUAGAUGCCAUAUUCAUGGCAACUCUGUCCCCCGCCAACACCACACCCUGGAAAAAAACCAACUUUCUAUUGUUGGAAUGAGGUAACAUUUUCAGGAAAAGGGAACCAUUUUCUCACAGGAUAUAGAACAAAUUCAACCUUUUAUUAAAUCAAAAUGGAUUCUCUAAUGUUUAUACAUAUCAUAUAGGAUUUCAUCUCUUUCAAUCUUGGUUCAAAGGCCCAGACAGUACCAUUCCCUAGUAUUUAGUCCAUUUGCUCAUAAAGCAGAAGAGAAAAGCUACUUUGUUCCGAAGGGUGUUAGAUUUAGGAUUCCAAGGUUAUUUCAAAUUAAUGCCUGGAACUAGACUAUAAAAUGCAGGAAAGAUUCUAAGUUGUUCAAAGAUGAAAUAUCUUAACUUUCACCAAAAACUCUGUCUUCUGGGUAUUUUUUGUUUUUCUGCCUUUCCAGAUUUAUUUUAAAUACAACAUUUUUGCUGUUUACAUUUUUAAAAGUUACAUUUCAAAAUUGUUCAUAAUUGGACACUUUCAUAAAAUGUAGGCAAAUGCAGUUUUACUUUUUAAUGAAGGACAAGUCUGUUGAUAACAUUUUGAUUCUUAAAAUUUUUUUUAUCUUAUAAAAAUGAAACAAUGCAUUUAAAGUGUCUUCAGCUCUUAUGUUAAUACCAAAUUAUACAUUUUCUUAGCCCAUGUUCAGGAGAGACAAUAUAUCUUCCAAAUUAAGAGAAGCUGGCACCAUUUUUAAAACAAGGCCUUGAAUCUGCUGUGGUAUGUGCUGGUAGGAAUUUUGUAUGAAGCUGUUAUUGAAGUAGAUGACAUUAAGGUCAAAGGAAAAAAAAAACAGAAAAUAAUGUAAUCCUACAGAGCUGCUCUUAAGAUCUUGAGAGAAAAACCACGUAGGUAACAUCAAACACUAGUUGGAAUCUUUCCAAGAAGUAAUUAUCUGUGUGCUGUUUGUGGUGGUUGAUUAUGGGAACAAACCAAGGUUUAGCCAAUUCAGCAAACAUUUAUGGAGUGCCUGCAAUGUGCAUGUCACUGUUUUAAGGCCUGUGCCUACUGUAAAGGUGACCCACACAUGAUGCCUGCCUUGCAGGACUUGGAGUUCAGCGAUAAUAAGAGAUGCAUACCUGAAAAGCCUAUUUAAGACUCUUCCGGUUCUACAAAGAAGGCUUCUUGAAAGUGGUAGCUUUGAUUACUCUUUGGAUUUAUUUACAUUUAUCCUAUAAUCAGAAGGUAUACAAAACAGACUCACACAUAUAUAAAAUUAAUAGAUUAGAUAGCAUUUAAACAAAUAUUUCAGGUAGGUACUUCAAAUGCAUUUGACAUUUAUCAAAGAAAUGGUAAGUGCUGUCAUCCGUGGGUGGCUGGAUUAACAUGUGGGACUACUUAUCACCAAUUUUGUUAGGGAUCUUAGGGAAAUUCCUGGAUCUUAUAUUCACAAGCAAUUGUAUAAAUACUUCCCACAGCUCAGAGACCUAAUAGGAUGGGGUCUUAGAGAAACAUCUUUUGAGCCACAGACUUCUUUGUUACCAGAAGGAAAAUGAAAGAAGAAAUUUAAAUACCACUUGAAGAGAGAGAGUGUGAAGAAAUGACCCUGAAAAGCCUCUGGCAGAGGAUUCUUCUUUCAGGAUGGUGUCGCCUCCUCAGCAGCCCAUCCUCCUCCCCUGGACUCAAGCUCUCAUUCCAGUAACACUCCUUCCUCCUUCUCCAUCUUCAGGGGGAGGUUUGCCAGUCGGUGGGUUCUAAGCAUAUCUCGCUGAUUCCCCCCAACCCUGCCGACACCUCUGUAGGUCGUCCCUUCAUUAAAAUCUCUCCAUUUGAACUAUCUGAGUUUAAUUCCAUUUCCUCCUGGUAUCUCAGUGAUACACGGUAUCAGUACAAAAAUCUCGCUUCACCUUCAGAACCAACAGAUUUGAGACAUUUUAUCCUCUGUGGAACCAUUAGUUAUUUUGUCAUUGGUUGUAUCAGAAAAAAAAAUCAGGAAUGCAAAUCCUUCUUUAUUACAGAUUCAGAUUUGCAUAUUACCAAUGUUAUAUAUUUUAAACAAAACUAUUCAUCAUAAGUUUUAAAAAUUAACUACUGGAGUAGUUAAUGAAUCUGAAUGUAAUUAUGUAGCUUUCAUAAUAUUAAAGUAAAAAUACUAAAAGAAGUAUUUCUUAAAGAAGCAAAUGCUCAAUCUCCAAGUAAAUUUUAUUCUAUGCUCUUCCGGUAUAAGAAUAUGUUAAUAUCUUGAAAAAUAUCAUAUUAUUUUGUGAACUCAUAAAGCUAUUUUGAGUUUUUGUAAAAUGAAAACCUUACCAAAAUGUAUUUUAUUGUUGGAAAGCUUGACCGUUACUGCUGUUUAAUUUUUUGAGCUUGUAAACUUUAUUUGUGCAUGUUUUCAACAAAGAAGGAUUUUAUUGUUAUUACAUAAAACAGGUGAUUUCUAGAUUUUAAAAUCACAAAUUGAAAGCAAGGCACAAUAAUAUAUAUUUCAAGAUAUAGGUACUUAGGAGGCAUCCUUUUAGUCAUCUGUUCAAUGUAGCCAUCUAUUUUACACCUACUGUCUACUAUUGUUUGAGGUCCUUGCCAAAGUAUUGCAGGCUAGUUAGGAAACAUAAAACAAUUAGAAAGUAAUCUAUGACAAGUAAGCUAUCUAUAAAUGGCAAUGAAGGGUAGAACAAAUUCAAUGAAAAUAUCUAUUUAAUCCUAGUGUUUACUGGUCUAGAAGAAUAGGCUGAGUAAAUUAGUAUUUCUCUGGCUGUUGUGGUAACACAUUGCAUGCUAUAACAGUUUUAAGUAAUUACAGGUGCAUUGAAAUUUAUCUAUGGCUUUGUCAUCAUAUUCUAAAAUGUCAUGAGUACUUUUUUCUGACCUCAAUUACUAUGAAAUUGGUUUCCAAUAUUUAAUUAACCAAGAAUAUCAAGUCUAUAGGGUAUUAUUAAGGUGAGACUUCUGUAGCCUUUUCAAUAAAGACCAGAAUUUUGGAGUGCCUUGAACCUUAAUCAUUGAUCUUUAAUUCUUAUUAAGUCAACUGCCCACCUUUUAAAGACUGAGGCCCAGGAAGAGUAAGUUUCUCUGAGACAAUGCAUACAGUACAGUGCUUCUUGGGUAUUGGCUCUAAGACCAGAUGCAAAGAAAGGCUAAAAUCCCAUUUCAUUGUUCAUUAGGUGAGAACCCUUUGUUAAGCUGUGUAACCUCUGUGCAUAGUUUCCUCAUCAGCAAAGUCAGAAAAAGUAUGUACCUGAAGGACUGAUUGUAAGGCUGGGAUGAGAGAAUCCAUGUGAUCAGCCCUCACCAACAGGUGCUGCCCAGUUCAUGAGUGCUGCUGCUGUCCUGCCCAAGUACCCAGCUUGCAGAGUGCCAGAGUUAGAGUCCCAGGGGUGUUCUCCACAGCUGCAUGCUUGAUCCAGGCCUAUCAGAUAUAUUCCAUUGAAAGUCCUCAUUCUCAAAUUUAAAACAAAGACUUUUUGUGUACCUCAAUAGCAAUGCACACACAGUUGGCUUCACAAACAUAUUGUACAUUUCUUUUUUUCAUAUUUAUUCAACAAAUGUAUAUUGACUACCCACCGUGUGACAGGUGUUAUUUGUUGACGGAACCAGGCAUCAUCAGCAAACAAAACUGACAAAGCUUCCUGCCCUCUGUGGAAGGCAUCUGAGGAAGAGACUGGAUUUUGUAGCAACAUGUUAUUCUCAUUAUAAACUUUAUCAUUGGAAUACUAAAGCCAAAUCAUCCCCCAUCUCCUUGAUCAGGAUACCCACUUAAUCUAGGCAGCUACACAAUUGUGAGAGCCUUUGUUUUUUUCUGCUGAAACAUCCUUAAAAAGAUACCUCACAACCCAAGAUUUGGCUUUUCUUAAAUACGAUUUUUAAUUUUUUUCAUUUCUAUCUAGAGAUUUAAUUGGAAAUGGAAAAUCAUCAAUUUUCCAAUUAAAUGUCUGUUCCAAUCAACAUUAUACCUUUUAGGUUGUCAUUGUCAUUUUUAAGUUUAAGCAACUUUAAGGAUUUUGAAUCUGGCUGCCUGUAAAUUAAAGGUGAAAGUAAUCAUUGUGUUGGAUUGGAACAUUUUGUCAAUUGAGAGUGGUUUCCUUGUUCUUAGUGUAUGAAAAGUUUAUUUUUCUAAUGUAGAUUAAUAAAGGAGAUAAAGAAAAACAAAAUGAGUGAUUUAUGUGUGUGAGAAAAGAACCAUUUCCUCAAGGAUUAAAUAAAAUUCAUACCUUUUGUUUCUUUUGAAAAGUUUUUAAAAUAAAUUUUAAUGAAUGUGUCCUUUAAAUAUUCCUUUAAAAAUGUAUCCUAUUUUAAAAUGGACUCUCUGAGAGAAGGAAUUGAUACCUGUGUUUAAAAUCAAAAAUAGCAUGCAUAGAGACUGUUUUUCUAGUUGGUUGAAGCUUUUUUCCCUCUCCUUUACAUCAGUGAACCAGCAUCUUGCCCUUCAGACCCUACAGCACACUCUUGGGCUCAUGAAGUGUAUGACACAUCCUCCUUGGGGGAUCGGCCAUGUCCUCGCUCUCAUGACCACAUGAAUUCUUCUGUAUGUCUUUUCUCACAGCUGAGUACUCUCUUCCUGACCCCCUUGUGGAAUGGGGAAAGGAGGCUGUGACAUUGUGCUUGUGCAAACAAUAAUUGAGAGCUUUCCGAGUCUCCUGCAUCUUCAUAAAUGAUUUUUUGUUUUAUGCUGGGACAGUAGUUCUUUAAAUAGAAUAUUCUCCCAUGGAAAUCGCCCACAAUGCUGAGAGUACACCUUGCAAAAGGUAAGUCUAGAAUAUAGGGUGCCUCCUCAGCAUUGCCCAGAAGCUGAAGUUAGGACUCUCUAGAAUACCAAAAACAAAUUUAUAGCAGUUCAUUAAUGUAAGGAAUUAUGAAAACUGUGUGCCACCAUUAUCCAUAGAUGAAACAAGAGCCACCACGCAAGCACAGACACAAAGCCCUGAAGAUGAAGCCAUUGACAGGGCUCUCAUUUAUUCUGUAGAAACCCACUUGCCUGUUUUUGAACCAGUUUUCUUUGGAGCAUAUGUCUCACUGUGCAACCAAAGUGGUGUUUAUAUCCUAGUCACUUGGCAAAAAUUCUGUCAUUGCUUCAGGGAGAUCCAUUUUAGGCCUGAAGCAUGGAGCUGGUAAUAGAUGGGAUUUGGUACUUCUGAAGAAAAGACCCUACUGCAAAUUUAGAGAGUUAAUUUUUUCUUUUGUUCCCCAUAAUAUUGUUGCUAGAUAGAACUACCUUUUUUGACUAGAAGUUAAAUAUAGAGGCCUAAAUCAAUUAGGUAACUCCCACUCAUUCUAAAUGAGAACAUGUUUGUUUUUCUCCAACGAGAUGAGAAAUAUUUGAGGCGCUUCCUGAUAUCUCUAUCACCCACUGCAUUUUUUCACUUGAUGUAUAUUUCCCCAUGUAUUUGGGAUAAUUUUCAAAUAAUUGCCCUUUAGAAAUCUACUUGAUAUUAAAUGUAAAAAAAAAGCAAGAUGCAAAAUUAUUAUAGGAUGCAUUUACAGAAAUUACAAAAUUUCUAUAAACUAUUUAUGGAGGAAGACUUAUAGAGUAUAUGUCAACACAUUGCUUUAUUAUUGUCCUUGGUUAUGAGUAUGGUUUUUUUGAAACCUGCUUUGUACUUUGGGUGUUUUCUCACCAUUGGUACAAUUGAGGCAUUUUUCCCUCUUCUUCAACCUUGCAAAUCACACGUGAGGAUGCUCAUAGAAGUGCCUCUCAGACAGGCUGUUGUUUUGCUUUCACCAAUAAAUCAUUUAUAAUUAGAAGUAGAAAACUAUUCUUUCCAGUGCAAAUACAUCCCUUUCAAAAGCAGUUCUCUUUUUGUGAAUGAUGUCUAGUGUCUAAGAAACGAGGGUAACCUUUAUUAUAUGCAUUGCUCUAAUCGAAGCAUUGUUUUUUGCGGUGAACUCAAGGUUACAUGUUUAAGAAAAGCAUCGGGUUAAUUCCAUUAGGAAAAGUGUCUUAUUCAUAAACCUUUAGCCACUGGAAAAACACCAUUAGGAGGCCACACAAGUGUGUAUAGCUGGAUAGAAUUUGACAACUGGCAAAACAAAACAAUAGCCUACAAUUGCAGAGUGCUGUCUGUUUAAAAACCAACAUAUCUUUCACCAACAAAUACAUAUUCACCUCAACACGAGACUUUCAUGUGGUUAUUAAUAUCAAAUUUUUGAAUGUCCAAAUUUUGGAGUGUAGUCUAGCAGAGGUAAACUGAUUUGCCUAAGGUCCUUCAACUGUCAGAGGUAGAAUUAUUUUCUCUCUCCUGGCUCUAAAACCUGUCCAGAUUCUCCUGCAACACUGUCCUUCAAAAACACACUUCCGCUGACUCCAGUGCUGGUGAUGUCAUGCUUUAGCUAGUAGUUAGAGGUGACUUAACUUUAAAUAUGGAAUCUUUUUUUCCUAUUAAGCAAUGAGGUUUAGUUUGAAAAUUCUUAGAGAUGAUAAACCCCUCUCCUUUUUUUCUUCCUUCUCCUCUUUUGUCCUGAACAAUGUUCCAUAUAUAUUACUGCCAGAAACAGAUUCUUGACAUUCCUGUUAUGCUUUUCCACAUCUUGUAAUCAUUUCUACAGCUGUUAGCAUUGCCAACAAUUAUAUUUCCACUUUUAAAAAAUUGUUACAAAGAUGCAGAGAGAAAAGAGGAAAGCCAAGGAAUAAACUACAGGCAAUUAUGGGAUAUUUUUGUGAUGUGACAUUUUGGGAACUGAGGCAGCAUCACUGAUACUGCACUACUUUUUAAUAUCUAGAUUUUAAUCUUUUGUAUGAAGAUAAAAUUCACAUGCCUUAAACCUGACCACAACAUAAUAGGGCAUUUAUUUUUCUAAUUUUGAUACCAUCCACAUUUCUUAACUAUAAGAAGAAUGCUUAUGUUGUACCAGGUUAUAUGAUGUUGCCAAGAAGUAGAUGUGUACCAUUUACUAAUACAUCCUUUUGGAAAAUGCGUAUUAAUAACAUAUUAAGGAGUAAAUUGACGUUGUGCAAAGUGAGCCUGUGAGUUUAAAUGUAUGGAUUGUACACCUUGCUCUUCCUAAUUGCAGAUUUAACAGGAUUUGAUGACCUAAUGAGUUUAUUUCUGAAUGAUUUAUAUUUCUUUGUCAGUUCAAUGAUUUAGUAUUUUAAAUUUUUUUAAAUCACAUUUUAUUGAGAUAAUGCUAUUAGUGUUUCUUUCCCAUCACUUAACAAAGUUAAGUCACUCCUCUCCCACCCCACUUUUGUACCUACCAAUGUUUUUUUCACAGUUACAGGCUGAUUGGCUUGACGUGUCUUAGGAUACCACCCAAAGAGAGCUUCAUUUUAUAAAUACCAAGCUCAUUUUCCUAAAUAUUUUCAAAAAGAUAGAUUUAUCCUCAUAUAGUAAAUUCAGAUUAAUAAUUUUGGAAAGGGUCAUGUGACCAUGGUAUUACAUGGCUGUGGAAGACCCUCCAAGAUCUUGUUUUGGGAUAGAAGGACUCAGACAUCCAAACUUUUAAAUUAAUGAACUUAUUAAAUUCUAAAACUUUGUAACAGUGUUAAUUUGAGAAGUAUAAUAUUUUGCUUAAGGUCUGUUUUGCUUUGCAAAAUGCAUCUCCUUCAUUUUCAUAUUAUGUUGGAAGCUUAGCAUGAAAGAACGUGCCUCAGAGGAAACCAUAGGUAAGCAUACUUUAACAAAAGUUAGUGUCAUCAUGUUUGUGUCUUUGCCUGUGGUUUUUUAAAUGUAUAAUGUUUAACGUUGAUUUGGCUAUCAAAUUACAUUUUCUUUUGUUAAAAAAUUCUGUAAAUUAGAAAUGUACUGAAUCAUUUAUUUAGCAGACUGAAGGUGGGUAAUGUUGGCUGAACAGGUUUAAGCCACAGUAAUUUGAAAAUGUAAAUACAUAAAAUAAUGUCAUUUCUCUUCCACUCAAUGUUUCUUCACCAAAUAAAGUCCAGCCUGCUCUGAA